RNAcentral lists this transfer RNA (101 nucleotides) under Rhodocollybia butyracea. Its description in RNAcentral is "tRNA-Thr". It matches the Rfam family "tRNA". Rfam says of the family: Transfer RNA (tRNA) molecules are approximately 80 nucleotides in length. Lineage: Eukaryota; Fungi; Basidiomycota; Agaricomycetes; Agaricales; Omphalotaceae. The record is from RNAcentral.
UCCUUCUUAGCUCAGUUGGUAGAGCGCGUCACUAGUAUAUAUCUCAUAUGAUAUGGAGUACUCUGAUGACGAGGUCAGUCGUUCAAGUCGGCUAGAAGGAA